ACCCCGGUAUUAUUGCUGUUAUGGGUUUGAAUCGAGCUUAGCCUUGUUCAUUUUUUUACACAACACCCCCGUAAAAAAUACAACACGGCCCGCUCAAGCCUGCGGGCGGCAAGGAUUUAAAAUCCCUAAAGCUGCCCUAUAAAGCACCAAAAAUGGCCUUGUGGCGCUUUUUUAGGGCAA
This 180-nucleotide small RNA is filed under the name Pseudomonas taetrolens. RNAcentral describes it as "Pseudomonas sRNA P1". It matches the Rfam family "Pseudomonas sRNA P1". Rfam says of the family: There appears to be two related copies of P1 sRNA in the P.aeruginosa PA01 genome and both copies appear to be located upstream of predicted glutamine synthetase genes. The record is from RNAcentral. Lineage: Bacteria; Pseudomonadati; Pseudomonadota; Gammaproteobacteria; Pseudomonadales; Pseudomonadaceae.